GGAACUCCUGCAGGUACAAGGAGCAGCAAUUUAAGUCCGAGGACGACCAGGAAUUUCCCAGGUUCUGCCAGAUAGCCACACAUCCCCAUGUUUGUUUGCUUCUUUCUUUUCCUCUUUCUUUCACUGCGCAACUUCCAGAAAAUAAUAAUAUAUAUAUAUUUUUUUAAAAAAAGGGAAAAAAGCCCAAACUUAACGCGGCCGUAUAUAUUCCUUCGGCGUCCUUAUCAGCCUCGGCUCCUGGCACGCAGAUUUGCUGCCACUGUAGCGCCGGGGGAGAUGCGUCCUGUCCGGUUCUCAGGCAGACCACCGCGCUUCUCGGAGAAAUGCGCGCCGUCUCCUCUGCUCCCGACUGUAAUCUCUGUGAAAUGGAUGCUGAGGCACAGAUGCAUCAGCCUGAGCUCCUGUACGUUUCCCUCCCCUCCCGCGGCGUCCUUUUCUCUCUGUCGUCGGGGUGAGACGGUGGGAAGCUGAGAGCAUUCAGAGCAAGCGCCUGAAUCCCCUCACUAUCCUUUUUUAAUUAAGUACACACAUCUCUCUCUUUAUGUCUCCCUCUCCCUCUCUCUCUUUCUCUCUAUUUCUCUCUCUAUUUCUCUCUCUAUUUCUCUCUCCCUUGUGUCUUGGUCCUCUUGCACCAUCAGGACCUGUGGACAUACCUGCCAAUUCAUAGGGGGAUUCCAAGUUGUGGUCCAUGGAACACCAAGCGGUCCCUGUGUUCUGCAUAUGGGACACUUGAAUAACUUGAAAUGCGCCUGCUGCUCAUAACCUCGGGCUAUUUCCUAUUAUAUUCCAUGAUGGUUGAAUCAUAGCUACACGCUAACCAUCGAAGAUUGGAAAGAUUUCUAAAUAUGCACACCAGCAUAUUUAGCUGCUUUGUCAACUCUGGUUCUCUGGCCAAAGAAAAUAAUAGAUUUGAUAUUGACCUGAUGUUUUUAUGCUUUUAAAUCGCUGACAGAUGAUUAAUUGUGUGUUUUAAUAUAUGCAUGUGUUAGAUUGCUGCUGUAGGGGAAGUAUGUGAUCAUAAAAUGUAACCAAGCAUUCUAUCCUGAGCCAACAAUCAAACCUGAUCUGCUCUCAGUACUGUGAGCCAGCAGCCAAAGACGAACCACAACAUGAGUUUAAGGUUUUCCUCUGUGGCCAUUUUGUUGACAUAGUGAACAUAGACAAUGUAUUAGGAUGCUUGUUGGAAACUUUAAACGUGGAUGACUGAUUGGUCUCGAUUUUUUUUUUUUUUUAAUUAAUUGAAAUAAAGUGUCCACAGAAAUACUCCCAGUUUACUUUGGCUGCACCAGCUGAAACCAGAACUUAAACUUAAUCUUUUUUUUUUUUUUCCAUCUAUGAAACAUAGACAUGAGAUGUAGUCAUGUAGUCAUAUUCAAAUAUGUCCAAGCUUCGAAAACAUGACAUUAGGUGUGUGGUCAGAUGACAUGCCUGGCUACUAUCGAUUGUAGCAACCUGCACCACCUGCUGGAUGGGAGUUGGUUGGGUGAACAAACUCCUGCCUAAUAUCUGAAGGCUGUUAGCACGACGCUAGCGGAUGUUUAGUGUUGACAUGGAGCAGGAAGCUGAGGCCAUUAUUGUUUCUCCCUUGUAGCAACCUGCGCCACCCAUAAUGUCCUUUGGAAAGUCAGUUUUAAAAACUGAAGGCAUUCCAGAAAAAAGACAGAACAUGGAGGGGAACAUGUCAAAUGAGUUAGAUUUAUAUAAUUUCCAAUUACUAUACAUGAAAAGCUCCUAAAAGACAGUCAGACAAGGCACCAAACAGAAUCAUUUUAUGUCAUUCUCAAUCAUCACUUGCAGCAAUCUGGUAGGAAGAACCUUUAGAUGCUGAUCUGUGGAACAAUUUUCCUCAGGUCAGCUGGAAUGCCUCAUAUCUCACAAUGAUGGGGGAGCAUGAUGGAGGCGCACUGAUCUGAUUCUCUGCAGAGUGAAGGUUCAAGCCGAGUGGGAGUGUCUCCAUUGGCAGCGUGUUCUUCACUCUAGUCAGUCUGAAUACAGGCAGGAACGUUGGAACGUGAGCAGGCCGACAGUGCAGCGGCGAACCUCAAAGUUCUGAUGGACUCGGAUAAACCCAGAUGUUUCUCUUUGAAUUUUGAAAGACAAACAACCAAAAGUGUCAAGAAGUUAAAAUAAAAGCCUGAAAUGAUUAUGUUACACCUUGACCUCCAUCUGUCUGAUGUCCUUGACUGUGUCUCAAAUAAACCCAAUGUAUUUCA
Molecule: long non-coding RNA, 2213 nt
Organism: Poecilia latipinna (sailfin molly)
Lineage: Eukaryota; Metazoa; Chordata; Actinopteri; Cyprinodontiformes; Poeciliidae
Exons: 2
Source: RefSeq, a predicted model, not a curated record